Molecule: ribosomal RNA, 253 nt
Filed under: uncultured bacterium
Lineage: Bacteria
Description: partial 16S ribosomal RNA
Rfam family: Bacterial small subunit ribosomal RNA
Source: RNAcentral
GACAGAGGGUGCAAACGUUGUUCGGAAUUAUUGGGCGUAAAGAGCUCGUAGGCGGUUCGUCGCGUCGGCUGUGAAAACCCGGAGCUCAACUCCGGGCCUGCAGUCGAUACGGGCGGACUUGAGUGUUGCAGGGGAGACUGGAAUUCCUGGUGUAGCGGUGAAAUGCGCAGAUAUCAGGAGGAACACCGGUGGCGAAGGCGGGUCUCUGGGCAACUACUGACGCUGAGGAGCGAAAGCGUGGGGAGCGAACAGG